RNAcentral lists this ribosomal RNA (292 nucleotides) under uncultured bacterium. Its description in RNAcentral is "partial 16S ribosomal RNA". It matches the Rfam family "Bacterial small subunit ribosomal RNA", at positions 505 to 796 of the family's 1533-position model. The record is from RNAcentral.
GUGUCAGCAGCCGCGGUAAGACGUACUGCGCGAACGUUAUUCGGAAUCACUGGGCUUAAAGGGUGCGCAGGCGGCUCUCCAAGCCCGAAGUGAAAGGUCCCGGCCCAACCGGGGACGUGCUUCGGGGACUGGCGGGCUCGGGCGAGCUAGGGGUCUGUGGAACUCCCGGUGGAGCGGUGAAAUGUGUUGAGAUCGGGAGGAACGCCGGUGGCGAAAGCGACAGACUGGGGCUUUGCCGACGCUCAUGCACGAAAGCCAGGGGAGCGAACGGGAUUAGAUACCCGAGUAGUCC